GAUAUGGAUAAAUUACAUCACAGAUUCAUUAAUUGAGUGUACGUAAGAUCUCAACAGUAUAUAUCACACUUGACGACGACAAAGGUGUUCACUAUAUAUUAUAAGAAAAUUAAGUAAAACUAACGGAAAAAGAAAGAGACAAUGACAAUGACAGAAUAUCAAGCUUCAAAUUACAUAAAAACGAAAAGUGUUAGCUGAGUCGUAAUUUUUCCUGGUUAUGCAACUCUAGUUGUUGAGUUGAGAGUAUGAUGUGAGUAGCCCUUUAUGCCCUGGUCCGUCAGGGCUUGGACCGCUGUUGUCAACAACUAGUUUCCGAAUGGUAUUCUUCUGUGCAUCGAUAUCACCCACAUUAAUCUUCGAGCUUCUCACAACUGUGUGUGAUGACUCCAAAAUGGCUCUCCUAAUUGGUUCUUGAUCAGCAUCUCUAUGUAGCACUAAAGUGUUAAGUGGCCGUGCCAUCCCAUGUUGGAUCUUCACCCAAGAAGAGAACGACAGAAUAAUAACAAUGAAUGCAAAGGAUUGGAGUUUUCCAGCAGCCAUGAUCGACAGGGAGCUAGAUCGAGCAAAGGAAUUAAUAAGGCGAUAUAUAUUGAUGCUUGAAGGUUUAUAUGAUUUUGUUAAUUUGUUGUGAAUAGAAUACCA
This 642-nucleotide long non-coding RNA is filed under the name Glycine max (soybean). RNAcentral describes it as "long non-coding RNA (GMAX_LNC004605)". Lineage: Eukaryota; Viridiplantae; Streptophyta; Magnoliopsida; Fabales; Fabaceae. The record is from RNAcentral.